Molecule: ribosomal RNA, 414 nt
Filed under: uncultured microorganism
Description: bacterial SSU rRNA
Rfam family: Archaeal small subunit ribosomal RNA
Source: RNAcentral
CAGCCGCCGCGGUAAUACCGGCGGCCCGAGUGGCGGCCACUCUUAUUGGGCUUAAAGCGUCCGUAGCCGGGUUGGUUAGUCUCCCGGGAAAUCUGGCCGCUUAACGGUCAGAAUUCCGGGAGAUACUGCCAGCCUAGGGACCGGGAGAGGCCGAGGGGAUUCCCGGGGUAGGGGUGAAAUCCUAUAAUCCCGGGAGGACCACCUGUGGCGAAGGCGCUCGGCUGGAACGGGUCCGACGGUGAGGGACGAAGGCCAGGGGAGCAAACCGGAUUAGAUGCCCGGGUAGUCCUGGCUGUAAACGAUGCGGACUUUGUGUCGGACAAGCUAUGAGCUUGUCCGGUGCCGGAGGGAAACCGUUAAGUCCGCCGCCUGGGGAGUACGGCCGCAAGGCUGAAACUUAAAGGAAUUGGCGGG